GGGUUGUGAGGUUAAGCGACUAAGCGUACACGGUGGAUGCCCUGGCAGUCAGAGGCGAUGAAGGACGUGCUAAUCUGCGAAAAGCGUCGGUAAGGUGAUAUGAACCGUUAUAACCGGCGAUGUCCGAAUGGGGAAACCCAGUGCAAUUCGUUGCACUAUCGUUAACUGAAUACAUAGGUUAACGAGGCGAACCGGGGGAACUGAAACAUCUAAGUACCUCGAGGAAAAGAAAUCAACCGAGAUUCCCCCAGUAGCGGCGAGCGAACGGGGAGCAGCCCAGAGUCUGAAUCAGCUUGUGUGUUAGUGGAACGGUCUGGAAAGUCCGACGGUACAGGGUGAUAGUCCCGUACACCAAAAUGCACAGGCUGUGAACUCGAAGAGUAGGGCGGGACACGUGGUAUCCUGUCUGAAUAUGGGGGGACCAUCCUCCAAGGCUAAAUACUCCUGACUGACCGAUAGUGAACCAGUACCGUGAGGGAAAGGCGAAAAGAACCCCGAGGGGAGUGAAAAGAACCUGAAACCGUGUACGUACAAGCAGUGGGAGCACCUUCGGGUGUGACUGCGUACCUUUUGUAUAAUGGGUCAGCGACUUAUAUUCUGUAGCAAGGUUAACCGUAUAGGGGAGCCGCAGGGAAACCGAGUCUUAACUGGGCGUUAAGUUGCAGGGUAUAGACCCGAAACCCGGUGAUCUAGCCAUGGGCAGGUUGAAGGUUGGGUAACACUAACUGGAGGACCGAACCGACUAAUGUUGAAAAAUUAGCGGAUGACUUGUGGCUGGGGGGUGAAAGGCCAAUCAAACCGGGAGAUAGCUGGUUCUCCCCGAAAGCUAUUUAGGUAGCGCCUCGUGAAUUCAUCUUCGGGGGUAGAGCACUGUUUCGGCUAGGGGGGUCAUCCCGACUUACCAACCCGAUGCAAACUACGAAUACCGAAGAAUGUUAUCACGGGAGACACACGGCGGGUGCUAACGUCCGUCGUGAAGAGGGAAACAACCCAGACCGCCAGCUAAGGUCCCAAAGUCAUGGUUAAGUGGGAAACGAUGUGGGAAGGCACAGACAGCCAGGAUGUUGGCUUAGAAGCAGCCAUCAUUUAAAGAAAGCGUAAUAGCUCACUGGUCGAGUCGGCCUGCGCGGAAGAUGUAACGGGGCUAAACCAUGCACCGAAGCUGCGGCAGCGACACUAUGUGUUGUUGGGUAGGGGAGCGUUCUGUAAGCCUGCGAAGGUGACCUGUGAGGGUUGCUGGAGGUAUCAGAAGUGCGAAUGCUGACAUAAGUAACGAUAAAGCGGGUGAAAAGCCCGCUCGCCGGAAGACCAAGGGUUCCUGUCCAACGUUAAUCGGGGCAGGGUGAGUCGACCCCCUAAGGCGAGGCCGAAAGGCGUAGUCGAUGGGAAACAGGUUAAUAUUCCUGUACUUGGUGUUACUGCGAAGGGGGGACGGAGAAGGCUAUGUUAGCCGGGCGACGGUUGUCCCGGUUUAAGCAUGUAGGCUGAUUAUCCAGGCAAAUCCGGAUAAUCAAGGCUGAGGUGUGAUGACGAGGCACUACGGUGCUGAAGUAACAAAUGCCCUGCUUCCAGGAAAAGCCUCUAAGCAUCAGGUAACAUCAAAUCGUACCCCAAACCGACACAGGUGGUCAGGUAGAGAAUACCAAGGCGCUUGAGAGAACUCGGGUGAAGGAACUAGGCAAAAUGGUGCCGUAACUUCGGGAGAAGGCACGCUGGUGUGUAGGUGAAGUCCCUGCGGAUGGAGCUGAGACCAGUCGAAGAUACCAGCUGGCUGCAACUGUUUAUUAAAACACAGCACUGUGCAAACACGAAAGUGGACGUAUACGGUGUGACGCCUGCCCGGUGCCGGAAGGUUAAUUGAUGGGGUUAUCCGUAAGGAGAAGCUCUUGAUCGAAGCCCCGGUAAACGGCGGCCGUAACUAUAACGGUCCUAAGGUAGCGAAAUUCCUUGUCGGGUAAGUUCCGACCUGCACGAAUGGCGUAAUGAUGGCCAGGCUGUCUCCACCCGAGACUCAGUGAAAUUGAACUCGCUGUGAAGAUGCAGUGUACCCGCGGCAAGACGGAAAGACCCCGUGAACCUUUACUAUAGCUUGACACUGAACAUUGAGCCUUGAUGUGUAGGAUAGGUGGGAGGCUUUGAAGCGUGGACGCCAGUCUGCGUGGAGCCAACCUUGAAAUACCACCCUUUAAUGUUUGAUGUUCUAACGUUGGCCCCUGACCGGGGUUGCGGACAGUGUCUGGUGGGUAGUUUGACUGGGGCGGUCUCCUCCCAAAGCGUAACGGAGGAGCACGAAGGUUAGCUAAUCUGGUCGGACAUCAGGAGGUUAGUGCAAUGGCAUAAGCUAGCUUGACUGCGAGCGUGACGGCGCGAGCAGGUGCGAAAGCAGGUCAUAGUGAUCCGGUGGUUCUGAAUGGAAGGGCCAUCGCUCAACGGAUAAAAGGUACUCCGGGGAUAACAGGCUGAUACCGCCCAAGAGUUCAUAUCGACGGCGGUGUUUGGCACCUCGAUGUCGGCUCAUCACAUCCUGGGGCUGAAGUAGGUCCCAAGGGUAUGGCUGUUCGCCAUUUAAAGUGGUACGCGAGCUGGGUUUAGAACGUCGUGAGACAGUUCGGUCCCUAUCUGCCGUGGGCGCUGGAGAAUUGAGGGGCUGCUCCUAGUACGAGAGGACCGGAGUGGACGCAUCACUGGUGUUCGGGUUGUCAUGCCAAUGGCACUGCCCGGUAGCUAAAUGCGGAAGAGAUAAGUGCUGAAAGCAUCUAAGCACGAAACUUGCCCCGAGAUGAGUUCUCCUGAGACUUUAAGUCUCCUGAAGGAACGUUGAAGACGACGACGUUGAUAGGCCGGGUGUGUAAGCGCAGCGAUGCGUUGAGCUAACCGGUACUAAUGAACCGUGAGGCUUAACCUUACAACGCCGAAG
RNAcentral lists this ribosomal RNA (2917 nucleotides) under Klebsiella pneumoniae. Its description in RNAcentral is "23S ribosomal RNA". It matches the Rfam family "Bacterial large subunit ribosomal RNA". Lineage: Bacteria; Pseudomonadati; Pseudomonadota; Gammaproteobacteria; Enterobacterales; Enterobacteriaceae. The record is from RNAcentral.